UGGGAAUUUUGGACGAAUUGGGCGAAAGCCUGAUCCAGCAAUGCCGCGUGUGUGAAGAAGGCCUUCGGGUUGUAAAGCACUUUUGUCCGGAAAGAAAUCCUUGGCUCUAAUACAGUCGGGGGAUGACGGUACCGGAAGAAUAAGCACCGGCUAACUACGUGCCAGCAGCCGCGGUAAUACGUAGGGUGCAAGCGUUAAUCGGAAUUACUGGGCGUAAAGCGUGCGCAGGCGGUUUGCUAAGACCGAUGUGAAAUCCCCGGGCUCAACCUGGGAACUGCAUUUGGUGACUGGCAGGCUAGAGUAUGGCAGAGGGGGGUAGAAUUCCACGUGUAGCAGUGAAAUGCGUAGAGAUGUGGAGGAAUACCGAUGGCGAAGGCAGCCCCCUGGGCCAAUA
This 394-nucleotide ribosomal RNA is filed under the name uncultured bacterium. RNAcentral describes it as "partial 16S ribosomal RNA". It matches the Rfam family "Bacterial small subunit ribosomal RNA", at positions 356 to 739 of the family's 1533-position model. The record is from RNAcentral.